UACGUAGGGGGCUAGCGUUGUCCGGAAUCAUUGGGCGUAAAGCGCGUGUAGGCGGCCCGGUAAGUCCGCUGUGAAAGUCGGGGGCUCAACCCUCGGAUGCCGGUGGAUACUGUCGGGCUUGAGUACGGAAGAGGCGAGUGGAAUUCCUGGUGUAGCGGUGAAAUGCGCAGAUAUCAGGAGGAACACCCGUGGCGAAAGCGGCUCUCUGGGACGGUACUGACGCUGAGACGCGAAAGCGUGGGGAGCAAACAGG
Molecule: ribosomal RNA, 253 nt
Filed under: uncultured prokaryote
Description: partial 16S ribosomal RNA
Rfam family: Bacterial small subunit ribosomal RNA
Source: RNAcentral